This is a small nuclear RNA of Rattus norvegicus (Norway rat), 99 nucleotides long. The record is from Ensembl. NCBI's taxonomy places the organism in Eukaryota, Metazoa, Chordata, Mammalia, Rodentia, Muridae.
GCCCCCCUCAUGGACACUUAAAAUUGGAUCCAUAUAGAAAGAUUAACACAGCCCUUGCUUAAGGAUGACUUGUAAGUUCAUGAAACAUUCUCUCUCUCU